GCCAGACUCCUACGGGAGGCAGCAGUGGGGAAUAUUGCACAAUGGGGGAAACCCUGAUGCAGCGACGCCGCGUGAGCGAUGAAGUAUUUCGGUAUGUAAAGCUCUAUCAGCAGGGAAGAAAAUGACGGUACCUGACUAAGAAGCCCCGGCUAACUACGUGCCAGCAGCCGCGGUAAUACGUAGGGGGCAAGCGUUAUCCGGAUUUACUGGGGGGAAAGGGAGCGUAGACGGCGAUGCAAGCCAGAUGUGAAAGCCCGCGGCUCAACUGCGGUAGUGCAUUUGGAACUGUAUGGCUGGAGUGCAGGAGAGGCAGGCGGAAUUCCUAGUGUAGCGGUGAAAUGCGUAGAUAUUAGGAGGAACACCAGUGGCGAAGGCGGCCUGCUGGACUGUAACUGACGUUGAGGCUCGAAAGCGUGGGGAGCAAACAGGAUUAGAUACCCGCGUAAC
This 447-nucleotide ribosomal RNA is filed under the name uncultured bacterium. Its description in RNAcentral is "bacterial SSU rRNA". It matches the Rfam family "Bacterial small subunit ribosomal RNA", at positions 330 to 794 of the family's 1533-position model. The record is from RNAcentral.